RNAcentral lists this ribosomal RNA (484 nucleotides) under uncultured bacterium. RNAcentral's name for it is "partial 16S ribosomal RNA". It matches the Rfam family "Bacterial small subunit ribosomal RNA", at positions 29 to 507 of the family's 1533-position model. The record is from RNAcentral.
AUUGAACGCUGGCGGCAUGCUUUACACAUGCAAGUCGAACGGCAGCGCGGGCUUCGGCCUGGCGGCGAGUGGCGAACGGGUGAGUAAUACAUCGGAACGUGCCCAGUAGUGGGGGAUAGCUCGGCGAAAGCCGGAUUAAUACCGCAUACGACCUGAGGGUGAAAGCGGGGGAUCUUCGGACCUCGCGCUAUUGGAGCGGCCGAUGGGUGAUUAGCUAGUUGGUGGGGUAAAGGCCUACCAAGGCGACGAUCUGUAGCUGGUCUGAGAGGACGACCAGCCACACUGGGACUGAGACACGGCCCAGACUCCUACGGGAGGCAGCAGUGGGGAAUUUUGGACAAUGGGCGAAAGCCUGAUCCAGCAAUGCCGCGUGUGUGAUGAAGGCCUUCGGGUUGUAAAGCACUUUUGGCGGGAACGAAAAGGACUGUGCCAAUACCACGGUUCGAUGACGGUACCCGCAGAAUAAGCACCGGCUAACUACGUG